CCUACGGGAGGCAGCAGUGAGGAAUCUUGGUCAAUGGACGAGAGUCUGAACCAGCCAAGUAGCGUGAAGGAUGACUGCCCUAUGGGUUGUAAACUUCUUUUAUAAAGGAAUAAAACGAGGCACGUGUGCCUUUUUGCAUGUACUUUAUGAAUACGGAUCGGCUAACUCCGUGCCAGCAGCCGCGGUAAUACGGAGGAUCCGAGCGUUGUCCGGAUUGAUUGGGUUUAAAGGGCGCGUAGAUGGGUUGUUAAGUCAGGUGUGAAAGUUUGCGGCUCAACCGUAGAAUUGCAAUUGAUACUGGCAGUCUUGAGUACAGUUGAGGUAGGCGGAAUUCGUGGUGUAGCGGUGAAAUGCUUAGAUAUCACGAAGAACCCCGAUUGCGAAGGCAGCUUACUAAACUGUGACUGACAUUGAGGCUCGAAAGUGUGGGUAUCAAACGGGAUUAGAUACCCGUGUAGUC
RNAcentral lists this ribosomal RNA (460 nucleotides) under uncultured bacterium. RNAcentral describes it as "partial 16S ribosomal RNA". It matches the Rfam family "Bacterial small subunit ribosomal RNA", at positions 338 to 795 of the family's 1533-position model. The record is from RNAcentral.